Molecule: ribosomal RNA, 433 nt
Filed under: uncultured bacterium
Lineage: Bacteria
Description: partial 16S ribosomal RNA
Rfam family: Bacterial small subunit ribosomal RNA
Source: RNAcentral
AACGAACGCUGGCGGCAUGCCUAACACAUGCAAGUCGAACGAGACCUUCGGGUCUAGUGGCGCACGGGUGCGUAACGCGUGGGAACCUGCCCUUAGGUUCGGAAUAACUCCCCGAAAGGGGUGCUAAUACCGGAUAAUGUCUUCGGACCAAAGAUUUAUCGCCUUUGGAUGGGCCCGCGUUGGAUUAGCUAGUUGGUAGGGUAAAAGCCUACCAAGGCGACGAUCCAUAGCUGGUCUGAGAGGAUGAUCAGCCACACUGGGACUGAGACACGGCCCAGACUCCUACGGGAGGCAGCAGUGGGGAAUAUUGGACAAUGGGCGAAAGCCUGGUCCAGCAAUGCCGCGUGAAUGAUGAAGGCCUUAGGGUUGUAAAGCUCUUUUACCCGGGAUGAUAAUGACAGUACCGGGAGAAUAAGCUCCGGCUAACUCCGUG